CCUAUGUUCUCUCCUAAGUCACUGAACACACUGACUCUAACCAUGGGAUGGAGCUGGUUCUUUUUCUUCCUCCUGUCAGUAACUGCAGUUGUCCACUCCGAGGUUCAGCUGCAUCAAUCUGGAGCUGAGCUGGUGCGGCCUGGGGCCUCAGUGAAGCUGUCCUGCAAGGCUUCUGGCUUUGACUUCACCUACUACUAUAUGCACUGGGUAAAGCAGAGUAAUGGGAAGAGCCUUGAGUGGAUUGGCAGGAUUUAUCCUUACAAUGGUGAUACUGUCUACAAUGAACAGUUCAAGGGCAAGGCCACAUUGACUGUAGACAAAUCCUCCAGCACAACCUACAUGCAGCUCAGCAGCCUGACAUCUGAAGAUUCUGCGGUCUAUUUCUGUGCAAGACACAGUGUGACAACCACAUCCUGA
Molecule: non-coding RNA, 417 nt
Organism: Grammomys surdaster
Lineage: Eukaryota; Metazoa; Chordata; Mammalia; Rodentia; Muridae
Source: the annotation of a RefSeq genome assembly